UCUAUGACAUUCGAUCUAUUUUAAAGAUAUCCUAAGUAGUGAAUGUAAAGAUGCAUAUAUAUAUAUAAGAACAUAAACAGGACUACUCAUGAUGACAUGCACAAGUUAGAUAAAGAUUUUUUUCUAAUUGUAUCUCUCACUAUUUUAACGAAUUUCAUAGACCUCAAGUAUGAAAUCGAAGAAUCUUAUCAUAAAGUUCCUUAGUGGGAUUG
Molecule: long non-coding RNA, 212 nt
Filed under: Elaeis guineensis (African oil palm)
Lineage: Eukaryota; Viridiplantae; Streptophyta; Magnoliopsida; Arecales; Arecaceae
Description: long non-coding RNA (EGUI_LNC067454)
Source: RNAcentral